UACGUAGGUGGCAAGCGUUGUCCGGAAUUAUUGGGCGUAAAGCGCGCGCAGGUGGUUUAAUAAGUCUGAUGUAAAAGCCCAGGGCUCAACCGUGGAAGUGCAUUGGAAACUGUUAAACUUGAGUGCUGGAGAGAAAAGUGGAAUUCCAAGUGUAGCGGUGAAAUGCGUAGAGAUUGGGAGGAACACCGGUGGCGAAGGCGGCCUUCUGGACUGAAACUGACGCUGAGGCGCGAAAGCGUGGGGAGCAAACAGG
Molecule: ribosomal RNA, 253 nt
Filed under: uncultured bacterium
Lineage: Bacteria
Description: partial 16S ribosomal RNA
Rfam family: Bacterial small subunit ribosomal RNA
Source: RNAcentral